This 468-nucleotide ribosomal RNA is filed under the name uncultured bacterium. RNAcentral's name for it is "partial 16S ribosomal RNA". It matches the Rfam family "Bacterial small subunit ribosomal RNA", at positions 28 to 507 of the family's 1533-position model. The record is from RNAcentral.
GACGAACGCUGGCGGCGUGCUUAACACAUGCCAGUCGAACGGAAAGGCCCUGCUUUUGUGGGGUGCUCGAGUGGCGAACGGGUGAGUAACACGUGAGUAACCUGCCCUUGACUUUGGGAUAACUUCAGGAAACUGGGGCUAAUACUGGAUAGGAGCUCCUGCUGCAUGGUGGGGGUUGGAAAGUUUCGGCGGUUGGGGAUGGACUCGCGGCUUAUCAGCUUGUUGGUGGGGUAGUGGCUUACCAAGGCUUUGACGGGUAGCCGGCCUGAGAGGGUGACCGGGCACAUGGGGACUGAGAGACGGACCAGACUCCUACGGGAGGCAGCAGUGGGGAAUAUUGCACAAUGGGCGGAAGCCUGAUGAAGCAACGCCGCGGGCGGGAUGACGGCCUUCGGGUUGUAAACAGCUUUAGCCUGUGACGAAGCGUGAGUGACGGUAAUGGGUAAAGAAGCACCGGCUAACUACGUG